This is a long non-coding RNA of Mustela erminea (ermine), 11899 nucleotides long. RefSeq lists it as uncharacterized. Lineage: Eukaryota; Metazoa; Chordata; Mammalia; Carnivora; Mustelidae. The record is from RefSeq and is a predicted model, not a curated record. The transcript has 4 exons.
CUCAACAUCCUUGCCAAUGCUUGUUGUUUCUUGUGCAAAACCAUUUAGUUUUAUAUACAAAUAUAUAUGCACGUUUUGUGUCGGGAAGGAUCUUGAUACAGUGGGGCCCUUCCAAAGUGAAGUCUUAUAAGACCAAAUUCUUCCAAAUUAUAAACUGUUAUAUAUAAACAGAUGAUUAAAAAAAAAAAAAACAAGUAGGGAUCAUCAGGAAACUAUCAAUAAUUCUUUCAUUCUUCCUUUUUCUAUUCCUGUCAUUUCAGAAGGUCCUUAUUAUUGAAGGUAACUAGUACCAGAAAACUAAGAGAAUCACCUUGAAAGGAAUCAAACAUUUAAAGCAAACAGUUAAAAAGAAAAAGAAAUUAAAGAGAUUUUAUUAGGACUCAGUUUUGAGGAGCUCAAAAGAAACGGAAUCUAAGUUUGGUUCACAUUAUAGAACAGAAAUUUAGGGUAUGAUGCAACAGCGUGUUAUUUCUUUUAACAAAAAUUGGUGAGUUCUGUGGUAGAAUCAUAAAGAGAGUACUUUUGGGGUGAGCAUUCACAUUUUCCCAAGGGCCCCUCGUAGUCUUUGGGUAUACACACCGUUCUCUUGGAAGAGUCUACCUCUCGUGAGAUCAUCUCCAUUGACUCUGACUUCCUCGGUUAACUGUUGAACAAGUUAACUGUCAACAAGUAAAUUACACUGCAUUUGCGUUUGUAUUCUGUGAUGUUUACCAGCCUAAAAAAUGAGCAGGAAUAGAUGGCUGGGGUUGAGGAUGAAGUAUGAGGUGAUCACUUUAUUUGUCAACGUUUUUAUGUUAUGAUGACCUGCCCUUCCUUAUACAGCCUGAUCAUUCUGGGGACUUAGAGAAUGAUGACUCAUGUAAUUAGAAAAAAUACCCCCCCACACACAUAUUAUGUUCCAGUUAAAGCACUCGGGCUGCCAGGGUGGGGCAGUCACAUAAACAUCUGACUCCUGGUCUGGGCUCGGGUCAUGAUCUCAGGGUCAUGGGAUCCAACCCGUAGUCAAGUCAGGCUCUGCGCUCAGUGGGGAAUCUGCUUGAGAUUCCCUUUCUCCCUCUGGCCCUCCCCUGUGUACUUAUGUAUGUGUGCACGCUCUCUGUCUCUAAACAAAUAAAUAAAUCUUAAAAAACAAAGCAUUCAGUAUGGCUUAGUAGGCUUGAUAAUUAAGCACGUGUAGGUUUGUACGUACUUUCCUGCACCUAACGAGGUUACGUAACCUUGGGUAUAUUAUUCACAGAUCCUCAGGUUCUUGAUAUGUAAUGUAGAGUUAUGAAACCAGCCUUCCAGAAUGGCCAUGGGACUUAGAGCCUAUGUGUCUAAAAAUAUAUAAAAGUCCUGGAUAAUACUUAGUGCAUGCAACUCAAGAAAUGACCCCCGGUAGGGUUCCUCCUGCAUUGUGUGGUGCCUUCCAGUUUAUAGAAGACUCUCGUGUUUAAUUCAAGCUGAAGAACUGAAAUUUUAGCAAAAUCCCUAAAGAUUUUUUAAGGUGCGCAGUGAUCUGAGGAAGCUGAAUUUCAAAAGAUCAUAUUUGGUGACUGUGUUCAUAAUGGAUGACGCCCUGGGAUUUGAUGGCCGUUUUCUUCAUGCUGCAGAUGGGAACGCUGAGUUCUGAGGAGAUGACACAAUUUUCUUGGGAUCACGUGGUUUGUAUCUGGCAGACCCAAACCCAGAACCCCAUCUUCUCUCACUUUACUGUGUUUUUCCAUCACAUAGUUGCUCCCUGGCCAUGGAGCCAAUUACAGAGGCUGUCAUGCUUGUCCAAGAACGAAGUGAUAAAGGUCCACCAUGUUUAUUGGCAGUGGGAAAGGGAGGCAGGAGGACAGAGUUAGUCGUCAUUGAAAAUAGGUGCUGCUUGUACUUGGCUCCAUGAAGAAGGGAGUCAAAGGCUGAACUUGCAAACCUGGCUGCAUGGCCAAACAGUAAAUUGAAGUCAAAUAAGUAGAAUGUGUUGGUUUUGUUGUUUCCUGAUGAGUUUAAAGGGACCACCCUAUCCAGAUAGAAAUACGUGGGAUUCCAAGUAGGACAGCAUGCCAACGCUGAAGAAAUAAAUUUGAGACUUUUAAAUGCCAAAGAAGGAGCAUUGAAACCAUCGUACUUUGUCUAAGUAUGUGCACCUGGGCUUUGUGACAUAUUCCGAGUUCAAGACCGGGCCGCACUGUUGCACUGUAAGUCACUAACCCUUGUACCUUCAUCAGCAGGAAGAGUUGUCCCCAUAGAUUCUUCUGCAUUUGUGUGUUUGUUUUGUUGGAUGGAUCCUGCUGUGGCACUGAGAGACAGACUUUGCGGGGCCCUGUUUUGUAAACAAAUCUGUUCAUGCACACUUUCUUCUAUCACUGGGUGUGUGCAGCUGGCUCUGCUUUUCUCUCCAGACACACGGGAGCCUAGGAAUUGAGAAGCCUGUUUUCUUUUAGAGGUACGAAGGCACCAAAAAAAAAACAUUGCAUGUGCGUUUAGAAUGUGCACAUCUACCCCAUAUAAGGUUUUGAAUCUUCAUGAUUUUAGCUCCAGGCCAGGAAACUCUGCAAGUACUUUGCAGCCCAGUACACACACUGUACCUCUAAGAGACAUCCUUAAAGCUGCCACAAAACUAUCGAUUAAGCUCAGCAAAUAAAGCUCUUUUUAUACUGAAAGUUCACUCUGUGGGCCAUAAAUGGAAUUAGUCACCCAAGACAAUAAAGCACAAUACUGGUUUUCCAAGAAAAGAUGAUUCGUCCCUUGCUAAGAUUGGUAUAUGAACUUACAAUAUAUAUCUGUAUGGUCACUUCCUGCCUGUAGUUUUUUGGGCAUGUUUUCUCAAGUAUUCCAGCAGAGUUCAAGUUUUUAUGACAGGAAGUAUGUGAAUGGUUAUGAUAGGAGCAAAUAACAUCUGACUUUAUGACUAUAGUAUAGGAAGUAGCUUUUCACGCCCAGUAGACUUUGGGGGAGAAACAAGUGCCGGCUUCGAAAUCUAAUGUACCUAGGUUUCCCAGAAUCUUUGCCCUUUCAAGUGGAAAUCACACCAGAAUGUGGUCUGUCUUCUUUCUCUUCUUAAACUUCUCUUGUCAACAGAUGUCUUUGUUUUAGGCAUAGGUAUUUUCAGUGUUUUGGUGUGACCCAACGUGAUAGGGAACCAUUCAGAAAGUUCUAAGCGAAUGCAGUAGACUUUGUAGAGUAGAUAGCAUGAAAAGCUUUGAAGACCCUACGUAGGAGCCUUCUGUUUCCUUAAAGAGUAAAGGACUAAAUCAUCAUUCACCAUCGAAGCAGAGGGAUCCCCCAACUUCCUUUACUCUUGUGGUCCAUUCAGUGUGCGUGUGGGAAACAUAGUUUGUUUCACAUCGAAGAGUCCGCCUCUGAGUGAGUUUAAAGAAAAGAAAGAAUUGGGCAAAACUUCAGUGAUGUUCCUCAUAGGCAGACCUUUAAUGGGGGCCUCGUUUUUCCCUGACUUAAAAUAAUAGUAAUCAUAGCAAUAGUAGUAAUGGAAAGAAAAGAUUUUUCUCAUCUUUCGCUUUUCCUCUUCAAGUCCGAGGAGCUUGUAGUCAGAAGAAAGUUUGUAACUGGUGCUUGUUCUGAGAACAGGGUACAAACACACCCAUCACAUGAAUGGACUGAUGCCAGUCAGUCAGAUGAAAAUGCCCCUGAAGGGUCUCCUAGUUCCAUGUGCACCCCCAGCCCCCGUGGGCUGUGACGCAGUACCACUCCCAGCGUCACUGGACGGAGAGUCCAGCUUUAACCCUGUGACGUUGACCUUCCCUUAACCACACUGAUGGAAAACGGUCUCUCCAUACUUCUUGUCUUAAAACUCCAUAUCACAGAUUUUGCAGAGUAACUUGCUGAUGAUACAGAGCUGUUCUCAAGGACACACGAAUGUGUUCGAGUUAUCAAUAUGGCGUUGUCCUCAAUUUCUUCUAAGUUCUGCAGAAAAUAUUUGUGUGAGGCAUGAUGACAAAUCUGCCCCAGGCAUAACUUACAAGGUAGUUUCCUAAGUUAAGUGCUGUGUUACUCCACAUACACCUCAGCCUGGUGUGACUGCCAUACAUCCUGAUGGAAGGUUCCGGAGCAGAGUGGUCAAGGCAGGGCUCCCUGGUUUUGAAUGCUGGCCUUACCACCUACUGAUUGCAUGAUCCUGGUCAAAUCCCUAAACUCCCCAGGACUCAGUUUCCUUGUCUGGACAGUAAUGGAAUUUGGGGUUGCAGUGAAAAUUUAAUGAGCAGGUCUGUGUCUAGCUCCUGGUAGUGUCUGAGCCAGCCCUGCCUGUCAUUAUGCUCUUAACACUGAUGAUUAAACUGACUUAAGGAGGUUGGGUGAUCUGGACCAGAGCAAAGCAUAGCCAAAGGAGGAGCCAAGACUCAAAACAUGGGCCCUCUGAUUACCUGUAGUGUGGUGCCCUUCCCACGUGAGGCCACACCCCCCCUUCUUUCUAGAAAAGUGCCACUGAAGAGUGCACUCAUUCGGAUUGCUUAAAAGAAAGCUUGGAGUCAAGUCAAAUAUAGAGAACAUUUGUCACAGGGUUUUAUUUUGUUUGGGGAGAAUGGGGGUGGGGAUGGGGGACAGGGGGCCCAGAGGUCUGAGAGGGAACACAGAAUCUGUAAAUUUGCCCCUGAGUCAUGUCCGCAGCUCAGCAGCCAGACCUGGGUAGUCUCUGUAGUUCAGUCACAUUCAAAAUACCCAACCUGAGAAGUCACCCUCUCAGCCCCCACAGUGCCCAGGUUGUCCUAACAGGCCGCAGCUUCUUGGCGCUGCCACAUCUGUUGGGCUCAUGUUCUGUCUGUUGUCCCCUCGACACCCCCCAAGCACGUAGUUCAGAUCUAUCUGUGUUGCUCUGCUUUUCCUUUCUCUUCUCAAACCAUCUGCAUUGACCUCACAGGCCUUAAGAGAGGAACUUUACUAUAAAGCACGAUCUGAAACAGGAACAAAGUGCACAGAAGCUUUGAGACCUGUGGGCAUGUGUGUGACCAUGACCCAGUGGGAGAGGGAAGCAGACUUUUCAGUAAGUGAGGAAAUUAGGGGUACUAAUAUUUGAGUAGUUGUCAGGCCUCUAAUCAUUGCUUUUCAGCUCGCCAAGCCCAGAAGCAAUAGGAUUUUUUGGAAUUGUAGGUAUUUAAAACUGCUGUCCUUACAAUAGAUAGGUUCCUGCUGUUCUUUUGAUAUUUUAUAGAGUGUUGCUCUUGCCACUGGGGAGGUUCACAAGGUCGUGGGAGCGAGGGCAGAGGGGUGACUGUUGUGUAGUGUUGUUGGUGCAAAUUAAAUUCUUCAUAUCAGUUAUCAGUGCUGUUUUCACUCACUCUCAAUUUGAAGAGUGUAUUCAUACUGUGUGAGCAGUUCCCAUACCGUUCAUUUGAAAAGAGCAGUUUGGCAACGAUUAAAUCCAUAGCACAUGGGUGAAAAUUUCCUUCCAUAGUAUAAAAUACAGUUGGCUUUAUUAAAAAUUUUCGUGUCUAUCUUCAUGUUUCUCUUGAGCACUCAAAAAUGAGAAAUAGAGGAGUCAGGGUGAAAGUGGCCAAGUGUUACCUUGUCAGAAAUGAAGUGCCAAAACUGCCGUGUCCCAGCUGUGUGUCUGCAUUUGAUUCGUUGGCCUUCAGCCUCCGUUUGCCCCAAGUGGAAGCUUCUGUUUUUCCCCUUCUACCGUCAAGAGCUCCCCCUCCCACCAUUUCCACCCAAGACAGAAGCACAUUAGUAGCCUGGAAAUAAAGGACAGGUUUUUUUGUUUUUUUUUUUUUAAGCUUCUCUUUGAGCAGAAUGUCUGCUAGUCUGCUCAGAAAGUGAACUCAGUCCCCACUGAUCCUCUCCAAGGUGGGAUAAAAACAAUCCUCCUCAAUCUGCGCAGUGAAGAAAUUCUAGUCUUCUCUGGCAUAAGUGAUCAGGUUUGGCCAACACCAAGAGAAAUACAGAAAGUUCUAUUGGAGCCCAUCGUGGCCCGUUUUCCGAGGGUGCUCUGCUGUGAAAGCCACAUGCCCGCCCUGUAAAUGUGACGAGUCCUAUAAAUAACUAUUUACUGCCCCCUUCACACACAAAUCUGAAAAACUUCUUUCUUUUCACAGACCCUCGGCUUGGCACUCGGAGCCUGUGCCUUCAGUGUCUCUGUGCCUAGUGGGGGGAGGGAGAUGUUUUCCGUAUUUGAAAUUUGGGGGAGAAGUGGAAAGAACUCUUUCUCUUUCCUUGAAGGGUUAAUGCUCUCACCAGCUUCGGAUUGGUUCACUCGAAUCCUAAAAUUACUUUUCUGGUCACGCGCACUGAAGGUCUAAGCAUUUGUGAAAUGUCUUUUUUUUUUUUUUUUCCUCCCCUUCUUCUUCUUUCUCCUGAUGCUGUUCUCUUGGCUGUCUUAAUUACACAGGGGUUGAGAAACCAAAUUAAAAUUAGGCGUGGCUGGUAAACAGUGAUCACAUUGCAUGCUUUGAGUUUUGUUGGAGUUACUUCUCCCUGCGUUGCUUUUCUCCCUGCUUCCCCCCCACCAAAGGAAAUAUCAUAAGCUCUUUUAGAAAUACUCACAGGAAGUGAGUAUCCAUAUGCUGGUUACUCGCCAGCGACUGAGCGUUGACAGGUGGAGAAGACGGCUGUAGCCCUCCCCAGAUUUAUUUGCACGUUUCCACCCGAGCAGAGGAUUAAUUCAGGGUGUGUAGACCAAGGGGGUUUUUUGUACAGUGAGGGAGUUUAGAAGAGGAAAUUGGUCAUUGCGUGUCAUCUCCAGGGACGGUGAUUCAGGGAGCUGCGGCGGGGUCAGCAAGGCACGUGGCUGCCGGGUCUGAGGGCUCUGCUCGGAGGGCAGGCUGCCUUCUACAAGUGAACGCUCCCUCCGCCGCCAACAGCGAUUCUUUCGCAGUGAAUCACUUCCAGAAAUGAACAGCCACCGUCUUUCUGGAAUGAACGUUGUGAAAUCCCUCGCUUAUAAUGGCAGGUUUUCAGUUGGUGGUUUUAUCAGAAUUUCUCAAGAUCAAAACGAAACCUCUUCUUGAAAGGAAAGAAAGUACUCUCGAUAGAGAAAGCAAAAGUAUUUCCAGUCUCCGGAGGAAGAACUGUCACAGAAGACCUGCGUACCUGUAUUGAGAGACACAGCGUCCGUGCACUUGCCUGAAUGUGUGUGAGUUCUCAGCACGCACUGCGGGGUGCUGGUGAUUUCCAACGCAGAAGGUCGCUAACGAAAAGAAAGGUUCUCUCCAGUGAGUAGGCGGUAGAGUCCGAUGAUGACGGCUGCGCCAGUGUUCAUGGUCUCGAGUUGUGGAUUCAAAAGACUGCUAGCAAGCUCUUAAAUACUUAUGCUUUAUCUGAUUUAAGGGUCUGAAUGGUGGGACUCACGGAAGCCUGGGAAGGGUUUUUCAGAAUGUGGAUUGAGUGAAUAAUCAUUGGAUUUUUUGAGUAAUGCAGUCCUUCUUGAGGAGGAAAGGCUGUUUUACAGCAGGAACGGUUUGGGGGGGGGCGCUUUUCGAGGUCUAGUUACUGCUUUUCUAAUAUUUAGGAGAUACAAGUAAAUGACUCCUCGGUCUCAGCAGAGAAAAAUUUCUGCCAACUCCUUCUCAAUGAAGAGAAUUCAGCCACAUCCUCCUCCUCACCGGAUUUUUGUCCUCCUCAAUAUUCCUGAGGAGAAACUGUCCCAUGAAGAAGAUAAACCUCCCGGCAGUCCCUGUGACGUGGCUCACGUGGUGGGUGCUCCGUGGCUUCCUGUGGCCACGCUUUGAUCCAGGGGGCGCAGGGAGGGAGUCCCCUCCCUGGAAACAGUGAGUGCAGCUGAAGGAAUUGUUCUCUCUCCCAAGUGGAGAAGUUGUUUGACCUACUGACUCAUUUCAUAGGAAUUGGGAAAACAACCUAGUGUGGUUUUCAUUGUUAGUCCUGGAAGAUUCCAAAAUCUGUGUGUCUGCAAAUAAGAGGAGCUGGAGAAAGGUGGUGUUGCCACUCGCUGUCUCUGCUUGCCUGCUCUCCUAAUGGAAUUCAAUCCCUUCCUUCCAGGACAGGUCCAGCCUGACUUCGGGAUCCUUUGUGUCCUGCGCAGUGAAUAGCUUACUGUACUGGACUCACCCUUCUUGUGAUGACGCGAGGUGAUAAAAUGGAUCUGUGAUGAGAUACGGUGAGGUGAAUGACAGAAGCAAUGUGCCAUAGCCUUCCGCUAUCACUGACCUUGUGAUAAGUCAGAAGGAAGAUCAUCAGCUCCCAGGCUGUGGGUGACCACAGGUCACUGAGACCCUGGGCAGCUGGAAAGUGAAACUGUGGGACCCUACUUUCCAAGUUUUCUUGCGAUGCCCGUCUGAAGCCGUUCUCUCCAACAGCUGUGUCUGAGUGCGACGUUGCCCUGUUGGUCAUCUGUGGCAUCGCGCUCCCGCCGGGGAAUGCUCUGUCUCUGUCCACAAGUGGAGGUAGACGGCGGUUCAGCAGGUCCGGUGGACCAGGCGGUGCUGAGCUUGCGUCUGGGACAGUGACCAGACAGAUGAAAGGAGAAGUCAGAGAUAUUUUUAGCGCUUCAGGGCUGCUUGGAAGCACUGGUUCCCGCUGCCCCCCUCCCGAGUCACUCCAGCGGGGUGUUCAGCGGUGCCGAUUUCGUGAACGAAUGCCUCCUGAGGAUUUCUGAAUCUGGAAAAUAUCUGUCAGCAGAUUGCGUUCACAUCCCUGUGUAAGUAGAGGCUUGUGCUCGUAAAUCAACCUUAAGGGAGUUCUGUUUUAUUUUGUUCCUGGAUGAUUCCCCGGUAAAACUGUUUUAAACAGUCAUCAGUGUUUGAUCUCUAUACCUUUUCUCUUAAACACUCAGUUCCCGAUUUACUAUUGGGCCUGCUUAAAAGCAAGGGUAUUGAUCCCAUAUUUGGGUCUGAGAAUGGGAACAGGAGGAGUUAGAAAAUACUAAAAAUACUCAUUUCAGUUAAUUCAGCAGGAGAUGCCAUCUGGACAUCCAGGGCAUCUUUUCCAGAUUUGAGUAUUCUCCAGACACCUUUGUAGUUAGCCACUCUGGAAUGCGUCCAUGUACAGCAAAACAGAUGCAGGCAGGAUCUGUGAGCCCUGUCAUUUCAUCUCUGCUAACGGUGUGCGGAGGAAGUGUGAUUUCUUACUUCGAGCCUCAUAGCCGCCAUUUACUGAAUGUUUACCAUGUGCUCUUUCUAACUCAAGUUGCUUUUCCUUCUGUAUCUCCGUUCUCACAGCCUUGUGCAGCAGGCGCUGCUGUUACCCUGAUUCGACAGGUGAGGAGACUGAGGCCCAGGGUCAAAAUAACCCAGCCGAGGCGAUUCGGGGAGCUAGCUAGCUGCAGAGCUUGACACCUGAUCCAGAAGCCUAUACGGCCCCUCCCACCCCACUGCCCUGCAGAAAUGGGAACUGCAGAAGGAGAAGCGGCUGGGCUGUAUUUUGGAGCCGGUAUUUUGUCCUGUCACGUUCCUUCAGUGCUAGCCAGGUCCUGCCCAUUUCUAGGUUUUCUCCUCCUGUUUGGUGGGCUGUUUUGGUGGUGCUUCUGCUAAUCAAAACCCACGCUGGUUUUACCGAUUUGCUCAUGUGCCCAUUUGAUGAAACCCUGGAGCUCGGAGCCCGUGUGUGCCCAGAGGUCCAGGCGGCCGUGGAAGAUGAGCUGUGACAGGGCCUGUAAAGCACUGGGCAGGGAAGAAAUGGUGGCUACAAGCCUGGGCUUGGAAUCGGGCAAAUUGGGGUUUGGAUUUGCCAUUCGUAAGCUUUGUCACCAAGAGCAACAAGUCACGUACCCUCUCUAAAUCUCUGUUUUCUCACCUGGGAAAGGGAGGUACCACCAGCCCUGUUCGGUGGUGGUUGCGAGUGUUGAGAAAUUGCACAGGAAGCAGGAAACACGGUGCCUGGGAUGGAGGAGGCAUUCCCAGAACGGAAGCUCGCGUUGUUUCUCAGAAUGUCUUCCCGUCUACUUCUGAGGUCAUUCCAGCCUUUGCCCUGGAAGGCUCUCUAGAGUUCUGACCCAUCUAAUGAAAUGACAGAUAAGGGUGUAGUGCUUUCAAAAUCGACCGUCUCCACGUGCUGAAUCCCCCCGACCCUCACCACCACCCCAGCAUACGACUGCGUAUCUCCAUGCUCUAGCUCAGGAUCCCAAGGCUCAGAAAAGUAUGCACCCAGCACAGCCAGGACUUCAACCAGACCCCACGCUGCUCGUUCGUCUGCUUCUUACAAGAAGAAAGUGUUCUUUGAGGGCAUUCAAGUCAGCCAGAGAAUAACUUAGAACAGAGGGACCCAGCUCACCUUUCCAGCCUGGCCCGGGCUGCAGUUAGGACUGCCAUGUCCUGAGGUCCGCAGCGUCUUGAAGGUGCAUUCUUAAACAAGUGUCAUGGGCAGAUACGGUCUUCUUGUGAAAUCCUCAAACCUCCAGGGAGGCUGUCUUAACCUGGCUUGCUCGUGCAAGAAGGGACUGGCAUUGUGCUGCCAUGAAAACAAUGCGCUUGCUCGGUUCCGCUCCUGCCACACGGGAGUCAGCCAUGUGGUUUCUUGAUUCACGGUUUCGGGCUCCAAGUCUCCUAUCAGAUUUGGAAGGAAAACUACAAAAAGGCAAGCUUGCUUGAAAACAGCACGAAGUCUGCCGGUACAGACUGGAUGUUGAAAUGGAGACCCAUUCUCAGAGCCUGUGGGCCCAGAGACGCCGAGGAAGGAUUUUUUUUUUUUUUUUUUUUUUUUUUUUUUUGGGUCCUUAAAAGGUGAUUAUGUUCAGGCUGGAGGUGGUGAACAAUUCUAGGUGUGUGUUCUGUGUGUGUGAGAAAGAACCGGCCAGAAAACACUCCUUUCAAAAGGUACAGGACCUUAAAAUGGUUGAUGGUUAAAAAUAGAAACGCCCCGAGUUACAGAAACUCAGCCCUUCCCGCAUCCUGGCCUAAAAAUACAGAACAAUCCGGUUGAUUGUCAGAGGUUGGAGGACAUGGAGGCACGGAAGCCUGCCCAUGUGCACGGACGACCGUCCUUCCUGGUCGUUGACUGUCUCUGAAAGACUCAACAAAGGAAGCAGAGACUUCUUCACCCCAGUUCAGGAGUCGGUCGCUGGCCCCCCGUUUCCCUGUGCACGUCCUGGAAGGAGAAUGAAGGGGCCCCUGUUGGUUUCAUCAACGAACUCAUUUUCAUCUCCUACUGGUGAACAGCGUAGCCUUCCCUGCAUGUUUUUUGGCUCGCCGGUCUCCUCCCAUAGACUUAUUUUUAAGAAACUGGCCUCGUGUUUUGGGUGAAGUUGUGAAAACAGAGGCCUGAGCUCGAGACCCCUGUUUCAGCCUGUUUUCAGUCAUUUCGGACUUACCGGCUCAGUAUCUCAGUUUCUAACCCAAAGGGCUUAAAACCUGCAGAGAAGUGUGUUCAAUGGCUGUGCUUACUAAGUCCGUCUGCUGGAAACGCCUUGGCAGACCACUCCCAGGAAGAGACCAAGAUAGACACAAGAGAGUCCACCUCCCUUUGCUCUUCUGCUGAGGGUUUUGAAAAGCCGGAAUAAGGUAGAAUGCAGAAAACCUUACCAUAUCUGUUUCUGCUAAGGGAGUCAAACUGGAUGGUCAUGUAUGGAACACGUCUGUGUGUGUAUGAAACACAUCUGUGUAUAUAUGGGUGGGAUGUGCAUUUGAGGUGGGAGAUACAUAUGAUCUUAUCAGACAUAAAAGCAAAAGGAAGAAAUUCAUGCUUCAGGAAAAAUUGUCCCCGUAACUGAAGUGUCAGUCACUUGAAAAAUGCUUCCAACUGGUAGUAAGGAAAAGCUGUGACUAGUCACUUGUAAAAAAAAUAAAAAUAAAAAUAAGCAGACCUUUCUCUUCAGAUUUUGGGUUUUUUGAACCGGUGAGAAUAAGCUUGCACGCGUCACUCUGAUACUACGAAUUCUAAUAGCACACACAGAGGGAGGCAGUGGAUAUCUAAAUGAGUCACAAAAUUCAUGAACUAGUUAUUGAAGGGUUGCAGAGGUUCUUCUGUCUCGGUACUUUUUUUUUUAAUUUUUUUUAAACAUUUUAUUUAUUUAUUUGACAGACAGAGA